CCUACGGGCGGCAGCAGUCGAGAAUCAUUCACAAUGGGGGAAACCCUGAUGGUGCGACGCCGCGUGGGGGAAUGAAGGUCUUCGGAUUGUAAACCUCUGUCAUGAGGGAGCAAAUUAAAAAGAUAGUACCAUAAGAGGAAGAGACGGCUAACUCUGUGCCAGCAGCCGCGGUAAUACAGCGGUCUCAAGCGUUGUUCGGAAUCACUGGGCGUAAAGCGUGCGUAGGCUGUUUCGUAAGGCGGGUGUGAAAGGCGCGGGCUCAACCCGAGAACGGCACAUGAUACUGCGAGACUAGAGUAAAGGAGGGGGAGGCGGAAUUCUCGGUGUAGCAGUGAAAUGCGUAGAUAUCGAGAGGAACACUCGUGGCGAAGGCGGGUUCCUGGACAUUAACUGACGCUGAGGCACGAAGGCCAGGGGAGCGAAAGGGAUUAGAUACCCUUGUAGUC
Molecule: ribosomal RNA, 446 nt
Filed under: uncultured bacterium
Lineage: Bacteria
Description: partial 16S ribosomal RNA
Rfam family: Bacterial small subunit ribosomal RNA
Source: RNAcentral